UCAAAAUCAUGCAUAUCUAGUUACACUAAGUUUCCUACUAAUUCUCUUUCUCCUAUCCAAAUCAUGCAAUUUUUUUAAAAUAAUAUCAACAACUACUGUCUUCUUAAAAGAAGUUGCAACAUGCAAUAGCUCAUCUAGUUUUUCAGGCAUGCAAUUCAAGAAUGCAAAGAACUUGGAGGAUAUAAAAGAAUGCGUAGAACCAGAAUCAAACAAUACAGAAGUAUCUACUGAGUUGAUGGAAAUACUGAGUUGAUGGAAAUUAUACCUGCCACUACUCUAUCACCGGCACUGGCAUCCUGUUGUCAGUGCGAAAACCCAUGCACUUCCUUUUUAUCUUUGAUCAGCAGGUUUUGCAGGUCUAGAGUCAAUCUUCUUUUUGUUUGGGCAGUCUCGUGCCAAAUGUCCUAACUGACCACAGGCGAAACAAGCUCCCAACUUAUUAAGACAAGGUCCAACAUGAAACUUGCCACAUUAGUCACAAGCUUCAAUUUUCUUCUUCUUGCUCGGAUUGCCUCCAGAGUUCUUCGAUCGGCCAUUAUGAUUUCCUACCGUUUGGGGCCACUUCUUGUCACUCCUUUCCUUCUCUGAUCUCUUCAAUUCUGCUUCGACUUUCAGAGCACUUUUCAACACAUCUUCAUAACUACUGAAAAGGUGAGACGAUAAAAGAGAUCGAAUCCUAUAUCUUAGACCCUGUUCAAAUCUGUUUGCUUUGCUUCUUUCAAACUCCAUGAGAUGGGGGCAGAAUCGGCCUAACUCAUUAAAUUUAUUUGCAUACUC
RNAcentral lists this long non-coding RNA (777 nucleotides) under Phoenix dactylifera (date palm). RNAcentral describes it as "long non-coding RNA (PDAC_LNC018316)". Lineage: Eukaryota; Viridiplantae; Streptophyta; Magnoliopsida; Arecales; Arecaceae. The record is from RNAcentral.